CAGCAGCCGCGGGAAUACGUAGGGUGCAAGCGUUAAUCGGAAUUACUGGGCGUAAAGCGUGCGCAGGCGGUUAUAUAAGUCAGAUGUGAAAUCCCCGGGCUCAACCUGGGAACUGCAUUUGAGACUGUAUGGCUAGAGUGUGUCAGAGGGGGGUAGAAUUCCACGUGUAGCAGUGAAAUGCGUAGAUAUGUGAAGGAAUACCGAUGGCGAAGGCAGCCCCCUGGGAUAACACUGACGCUCAUGCACGAAAGCGUGGGGAGCAAACAGGAUUAGAUACCCGUGUAGUCCCUGUAUCUUAUAC
RNAcentral lists this ribosomal RNA (301 nucleotides) under uncultured bacterium. Its description in RNAcentral is "partial 16S ribosomal RNA". It matches the Rfam family "Bacterial small subunit ribosomal RNA", at positions 509 to 807 of the family's 1533-position model. The record is from RNAcentral.